This is a long non-coding RNA of Tupaia belangeri chinensis (Chinese tree shrew), 559 nucleotides long. RefSeq lists it as uncharacterized. NCBI's taxonomy places the organism in Eukaryota, Metazoa, Chordata, Mammalia, Scandentia, Tupaiidae. The transcript has 6 exons. The record is from RefSeq and is a predicted model, not a curated record.
CUCCUGGGACCCGAUGGAGUCCGGGAAGGGGAAACUGUGUACACGCCGUCUCUAUGCUCACGCCCCAUAGAAAGCUAAAGAUCUGGCUUCAUUGUCCACCAGGAGUGCCAGCGCUCUGAACCGGCUAGCCGUGUGACCACUGAAGCAGUAUCACCUCCUAAGCCCACAUUCCUCCUGGAUGGGGUCCAGUCACCUACAGUUAACGAGGACAAGCACGACGGUGUUUUUAGUAUGCAUGGGUAGCCAAGCGAUCCAGAUGCCAGGAGAAACCCGAGGAGCUCAGGGGGUCCGCCCACUCUGCCAUGGCCCCUGCCUAAAAUCCACGCUUCCAGGCUCAGAGAAGAAGUAAACUUUAAAGAAACAGAGGAGUCUGCGGACAGGGGAAUGAACACAUGUCCAGGCUCCCGGUGCUAUCAGUGGUGAAGAUGUGAUAUCCGGAAUUGCAGCAGCCAUGCUGAACCCCAGAGGAUGAGGCCAACAGGUGAGGGUGGCUGAGAAGAACAGCAAGAAUCUAAGUCCUUAAUGAUGUCACUGUCCUACCCAGGUGCCAUAGUUUGGA